This 900-nucleotide long non-coding RNA is filed under the name Gossypium raimondii (Peruvian cotton). RNAcentral describes it as "long non-coding RNA (GRAI_LNC001006)". Lineage: Eukaryota; Viridiplantae; Streptophyta; Magnoliopsida; Malvales; Malvaceae. The record is from RNAcentral.
UCUUUUUCUCUUUUUUCCUUUUUUUUCUUUUUCUUUUUUUCUCUUUUUUCCUUUUUCUUUUUUCUUCUCUCUUUUUUUCUGCUGGGCUGCUGGGCUGUUGCAGGGACUGGGCUGCUGCCGAAUCUGGGCCUGCCAAGGCUUGCUGCAGAUGGCCUGCUGGGCCUGCGCUAAUUGGGCCUGCUGUUGGAUCUAUUGGGCCUGCUGGAUUGGGCUGCUUGGCCUGUUUUUUUCUGCUCCUUCUUUUUCUUUCUUUCUGGGCUGCCCUCUGAAGUGGGCUGGCCUACUGCUGCUGGGUCGGGUGCAGGUCGAUCACGGGUCAGAGUCGGGUCGGGUCGGAUCGGUUUAACCCGACUGUUAAAAGAAUAUUUUUUUCUUUCCUUUUUUUCUUUUUUCUUCUUUUCUUUCCUUUUCUUUUUUCUUCUUUCUUUCUUUCUUUAUUUCUUCUUCCCUUUUUCUUCCUUCUCCGUUCAACAGUAGCCCCUUGUAUUGCCAACGAUGUUCCCUCCGCCUGGUGCGACGGCUGACGGCAGCGUGCGGAGGAGCUCUCCUCUCUUUUCUUCUUUUUUCUUCUUUACUCUUUCUUUUUUCCUCGUUUGCUUGCUUUUUUUCUUUUUUUGCCUCUUGGUUGUUUUGCUGGGUAUCGGGACGGUGAUGUUGCGGUGGCGGGUGUGGUGGCACGGGCACAAUGGCGGCGGUGGGCCUUUUUUGCUGCUGUUUUUACUUUUUUUCUGCUCAAUAUUUUUGUUUUUUUUCUUGGUUUUGCUUCUUGCUUUUUGCUCCCCAAAUUGGGGGUUUGAAAACCCUUUUAAAUUGUUGAUUUCUCUUCCUUUUUACAGUUAGCAGGUGGCUGGGGGAGAGGGAGGCCAUGCUUUAGGUCGGCUACUGCAGAGUAGGUGCGCA